This 3632-nucleotide long non-coding RNA is filed under the name Coturnix japonica (Japanese quail). Its description in RNAcentral is "lncRNA (ENSCJPG00005003812.1)". Lineage: Eukaryota; Metazoa; Chordata; Aves; Galliformes; Phasianidae. The record is from RNAcentral.
AAACAGCAUCUGUUGCUGUCUUGCAGGAUCUAUCAUCAAGGUGGGAUCCAAGAUCAACCCACAGUCAGGUUCAACAUCCCAAGAAGCACAUUUCUUUAUUUAUCAGUGAAACCUGAGUCUUGGGUGCUCCUCUGGGAGCAGGAUGCAGGCUAGAUGAGUUCUAGCUUGCUUCUGCUUGCUGUCUUUCCUGGGCACUCCACAGUUUCUUGCUUCUCCCUAGCCAGGCUCCAUACACACAGUGAAUAUGAUAGUUUAAGGCAUCAAAAUAACCAGUUUACUGUGUACAUACAGAAGUAAUGUCCUGCACAUGCCCUGAUGGCCUGUUCAUGUGAUGGGGAAGGGCUAGAAUGGAACAACCCCUUCCUAUGGCUAGACGGAAGCUAGACAAGGAAAACUUUGACUAAUUAGGAAACCCAGAGCUCAGAGGGGAUGGCUUGGGGGCUGUUCUAUGGCAUUUAGUUAUAGCAUGCAAUCCCAUCUUUCUGGCUAUCAUGAUAUAUAUACUUACACGUAUGUGUGUGAACAGACAUAAUAGUCUGAAGCCUUAACUGUGUCUCACAUUAAUGCAGAUGAAAAGUUGAGGAGCUGCAAGGAACAAUUCUUUCAUUGUCCUCUACACAUCUGGGUUAAUGUUUCGUCCUUGAAUUAGUCCUCACCAGAGUGUUCCCUCUCUGCUCACCACAGGCUAGCAGUGCCAAUUUCCCUCCAUGGCAGCUCCAGUGACAGCUGUUUACUUGGAAGCUCAUGGAUUUGAUAUAUGGGUGCUAGCCACAAAUUAAUGGAAUACUUUCCAGAUGCAAAGUCUUUAAACAUUCAAACAAUAAGCCAAAAACACUAAGCUGUUUUGGCCAUUUUUUCUCUUCACUCUGGAUGUCACUUGGAGAUGAUGUAAACACAAUUACUUGGGACAACGAACAGAACACUUAAUUGGUUUUGGAUUAACAGCAUGGGUUGCUGGAUGGCAGUCAGUUGAUGGUGCCAUUUGUCACCUUAAGCCAAGACCUGAAAUCGCCAAGAAGGACAACGGAAUAAAGAAGAAAAAAGAAGUACUGAAGCUAACUGCUAGCAGGUGGCCUUCCCAGCCUAGUCAGAGAGCUGUGCGUGCUGGCCCAGCCUCCCAGGUUCAGGUGCUGUCCAGAAAUCAGUCUGGAGCAGAGGAGUCAGCACCUAGCUCAGAAAUGGAGACCCACAUUAGUCCCAGUCAUGCCUCUCUUCCACACUAGAUCUUCAGCAGAUUUCAGUUUGCAUUACAUGCACCCUAAUUCUGAGGACUGGGAAAAAUCCACCUGACAGCAUUUGAGGGCAAAAAUCAGUGUACGAAAGUGGGCUAAAUUUCUUUGGGGCUGUGUGUAAGUUUAACCAUUAGUACCUUUGCUCAAAGAUAACAACAGGUCAAAUUGAAAACUUGUGUGAAGUAGAAUGGCUGCACUGAAGCCGGACGGUAAUGAUUUAUACCACCUCAGAACCUGGGCCAAGAAGUGUAACUGAUUUCUUGGCCAACUUACAUCACUUUUUUUCUUAUCCCUUUGCAUUUUCUUUGGCAUUUUCUUCUUUGCAUUUUCUCAUUUUCUUCCCCCUAAAUUUAAUGUGAUCUGGACAGUUGAGCUACCAGGACAUCAAUUUUCUAUCCAGUCAUUAGGGGGAGGAACCUUCUUACACACUUUUAUCUACAUACAAAUGCCAGCAAACAUGAGCUGUGUGCCCUUGUAUUAGAUGAGGGUAAGACAGAGCUCCAAGCAGCCCUGUCUGAACUUGAAAUGAGUUCAAGCCUGAAAUACUGCCCGCUUGAAGGUUUCUUCUUUAUUCUUUCCAAUGUUGUGAUUAAUUAGAGAAUUAAUACAUAUUAAAGUUAUCAUCAUCUUUACUGGAUGGAAAAAUUUGAAUUCAUUAUCUAAUGGGAGGAAAAUAAGCAUCAUUUUACAAGGGCUUUAGAGCAACAGUGGUAAUAACAAACCACCACUCUAGUCCACAGGCAGCACAGACAUCUGCUAGAAAAAUAUGAUGAUUCCCCCACCCACCACCCUCAAAUUUAGGGAUUUGUGGAAUACAGGCCUUGCCUGAAGUUGUUUGGCAGGAAUCCUCAUGCGAAGUUCUUAUUUAAUGAAAUCAUGUGGUAGUAAAUCAAACACAGAACCAGGAAUAAGUAAAUCCACCACAUCCUUUGAAAAAAGUAUGGUUUGAUUCCAUCAACUCAAGUUGCCUGGGCAAUGAAUUAUCUAUUUUUGUCAACUAAAAAGCCAUCACCCAACAAUCACCCAUCUUUAUGGUACAAUUUUAUAAUCCUCAGUCUCAAAGCUGAGCUGAGAGCCAGCACAGUAUGGACAGGUUAGUCACACAAAGAGCUCCUAAGACUAGUGCUAAGCUGUUGUAUCUUUGCAAAGUCUGUGCAAAUGGCUCAAAAGGCAAAACUUGUGGCCUCUUACAAAGUGUCAAAAGAAAGGUGGCAAAUUAGUGUCAUGAACAACAUGAGAGAAAGCAGGUAGAAAAGUGAACAGAGCAACAUUAACAUUAUGAUACAAAAAAUCAGAGGUUGGCAUUAUGGACUUGGUAGUGUCAUGCUGGUGGUUCGUGUUGGUUAUCUGAAGGGUCCUUCCCAACCACAAUGAUUCUAUCUAAUACCUACUGAUUUCAGAAAGAGCCUUAACACAGAUCCACUUUACAUGGCUUUUUCUAUGCCCACGGAGGUUCAGAGCCAUGGAAAGGUGCUGAGUCUGAUAAAUUCAUUACAAUUAGGUCACAAUUAUUACAGUUAGGAUCUCUCACAUAACUUCUUUCUUCUGACACUUCCCACAGAAAUGAUGGCUAUUGAAUCAGCAAUACCUGCUUACAAUGUUUGAUGUUUUUAAACUGUGAUUCAAUUUUCUAUGUUGCCUUCUCUACUUUUCCAUAGAAAGUUCAAUGUAAAAAAGGGAAAAAGGGAAGAAGUAAGUUCAAUGAAAUUUUCUUGCAUUUUCUUUUUCUUUUUUUUCUUUUUUUUUCUUUUUCUUUUUUUUUUUUUUAGGGAAACCUGAAUUUUCUGCAGAAAACCACAACAGAAACAACCACUUCUUGUCAACAUUUCCCUUAGGAGUAAUUAAAUGUGAUUUUCAUACACUAAUACGCCUAAGAAAGCAAGCAGAAGAGAGAACAUCCGUGUUUUUAUAAACAAGAUUUACAAAGAGAGAGAUUUUGUGAGGAAGCAGUUGGAAGAGGGAUUGUAUCAGGUGUGUCCAUAUUAACCAUGAGCCACCUGCUGAGAUUGCUGUGCUACCUGUAGUUGCUGCUUGAAAUUAAUUCAAUAACUCAAUUACACAAAAACUCCCUUAGCUCUUCUCUCUUUAAUUGAAUGAGAAAAACUACAAACUUUUUAUAAUUUUUAUAACUGAGUACUUACAAGUAUUGAGACGGUGGUUUUACUCUUGCUGGUCUGUCUUGUAUUUGUUGUUGUUUCAGCUUUGUGAUUCAUCACUGUGAAAUCAAAAUGAAAUAGCUCUUCAGAAAUCUUGGGAUUUCCUAGAAUCCCCAUCUGAAUGCCAUUUAAGAAGAUUUGGCUUUGUAAUUAACCAUUUCUCAGGGAGUUAAAAAAUAUAAACAACUCAAAUGUGGCAUUUUUACAACCUUAAUAAAACCAAAUGCAACAUUUACUAGGUACA